RNAcentral lists this ribosomal RNA (497 nucleotides) under uncultured bacterium. RNAcentral describes it as "partial 16S ribosomal RNA". It matches the Rfam family "Bacterial small subunit ribosomal RNA", at positions 28 to 507 of the family's 1533-position model. The record is from RNAcentral.
GAUGAACGCUGGCGGCGUGCCUAAUACAUGCAAGUCGAACGAAAAGACCAUGAUUUUGUGCCUUUGUCGUUUGCGGCUGACGGGCGUGUAACGCGUGUAUCACCUACUUAUAUUUCGGGGAUCACUACGGAAAACCGGAUACAAUACUAUAGAAUAUAUUGAACCGCUGGGUGCAAUGGAAAUUGUCGGCGUUCGUGGUUGUAUUAGCUGAUUCCUCGCCGCAUUGGCUGGUAGGUAAGUUAACGGCCUAUCAAGGCUACGAUGCGUAGCCGACCUGAGGGGGGGAUCGGCAACCUUGGAGCUGAGCCACGGACCAGACUCCUACGGGAGGCAGCAGUCGGGAAUGUUCGGCAAUGGGCGAAAGCCUGACGGAGCAACGCCGCGUGAGUGAUGAAGGCCUUCGGAUCGUAAAGCCCUUUUGUUAGGGAAGAACAGCUGUGGGAUUAUACGUGGCCGUAUUGACGGUACCGAAUAAGGAAGCACCGGCUAACUACGUG